Molecule: long non-coding RNA, 470 nt
Organism: Cyprinus carpio (common carp)
Lineage: Eukaryota; Metazoa; Chordata; Actinopteri; Cypriniformes; Cyprinidae
Source: RefSeq, a predicted model, not a curated record
CUUCACGGAGUGGCAUUCUUUGUUUGAGGAGUAUAAAGCACCACCUUUUUCUCUUCCACUCCUGCAGCCUGCAUAUAGCUUUGGGAUUGCCACGUUGGUUUCUUUACCCCUGAUGAGGCACCUGAGUUCCAUCCCAACCACACCACUCUCUCCUGGGUGUCUCUGUCCUACCCAAACCUGGAGCUCCACCAGAGGCCCCUGUACUCCAUACGACCCGAAGAGGUGCUGUAUUUUCCAUAUCGUUGGUGACACCAGCGUCUUCAUUUUAACAUUUCUGGGGUGAAGACUGAUAUGGUGGACACACACCAUGUGCAUUUGACUUGAAGGACCGGACAAGGAUUCGGUGUUCAGAGGAGUUUGACUCAGUUUGAGCAAAACAGAAAGCCAAGCCAUUCAUCCAUUAACUUGAGCAAUGUUUUUUUUUUUAAUAGAAGCUGCUUUUUAUUGUGAGAUUGAGAUAAUUUAACAAA